Long non-coding RNA from Thalassophryne amazonica, 470 nucleotides. RefSeq lists it as uncharacterized. Lineage: Eukaryota; Metazoa; Chordata; Actinopteri; Batrachoidiformes; Batrachoididae. The transcript is spliced from 3 exons. The record is from RefSeq and is a predicted model, not a curated record.
UAAAGUAUAAAAUUAAAGAAAUUUAUUACCAUGGAUAAAUGAUGAAUGUAAGAAAUGGAUGAGAGACAGAGAUGAGCAACUAAAAAAAUAUAUCAAAUCCUGUCUCAUCACAGACAGGAAUAAAUUUACCUCACUAAGAAAUAAGGUUACUUAAAUUAUGCUAAAGGUUAAAGCAACUUUUUUCAUGAAUAUCAUUUCUGAAGCAAAUGGAAAUUCCAAAAAGAUCUGGCAAAAAAUAAAUAAAUUAACGGGGAAGGAUAAAAAAGCAAAACAAGAAAUUGAGCUAAAAAUGAACAAUAUUGCUGUGACUGGUCCAGAUCUAUUGACAAAUGAAUUUAAUAAUUAUUUCCUCAAUUCUGUGAGGGAAAUAAGUGAAUUAUUUCCAUCUCCUGAUCUCAAACCAAGGUCCAUUGAUCUCACACAGCCUGUUUUUAAUUUAUGUGAAAUAACAGGGCUGGAAGUGUCCAAAA